Molecule: unclassified non-coding RNA, 368 nt
Filed under: Hevea brasiliensis (rubber tree)
Lineage: Eukaryota; Viridiplantae; Streptophyta; Magnoliopsida; Malpighiales; Euphorbiaceae
Source: RNAcentral
UGAAGCUCAGAUAUUCCCUAAAAUGGAUUUAACAUAAUCACUAGCAAAUGUGCAUGGAAUUUUUAUAAUGGGCAUCUCUUACCCUUGUGCUUUCAUGCAGGCCAUCAUCUGGUCGGAUCCUUGAGGCAUUGCAUAUUGAUCCAGCAUCUGGCGUGACGCUUGAUAAAGAAAAGAGCAGCAGAGCAGUAAAACCAUCAGUAAGUACGUCAUCAGCACUUGCAAAGUUAACGAAGGCAAGUUCUUCCGGAGGGCCUUUAAAGCAGGGGGAAAAGAAAGAAACUCCACAGGAACGACUUAAGAGGAUCAUGAGUCAACAGCUUAAUAAACAAAUUAAGAAAGAUACAGCUGCAGAAAUGGCUAAAAAGAGG